RNAcentral lists this small RNA (599 nucleotides) under Pan troglodytes (chimpanzee). RNAcentral describes it as "retained intron". The record is from RNAcentral. Lineage: Eukaryota; Metazoa; Chordata; Mammalia; Primates; Hominidae.
GUUAUUAUCCCCAUAUUUAAAAUGGAGGAAGGCCAGAGAGGUAAAGUGGCUUAUCCUAGGACACCCAGCUAGUGAAGGCCACCAGAGCCAGGAUGCCUGAUUCUAAGUCAAGAGAAUUUCUACCACCCCACACUGGCAGCCGAAGGAGGCAGGCAGGGCAGCAAACAGGCAAUUUCCUUCCUUCUCUCCCUGGAAAGAUGACAGCCGUGACGCCAGUCCUCCUGAGCCCGCCAGCCCCACCAUCGGCCUCGAUAAGAAGACUCGCCGAAAGUUCCUGGACCUGGGGGUCACCCUGCGCCGAGCAUCCACGGGCAAGAGCCGGAAGGAGAAAGGCAGCAACCGACUGUCCAUGGGCAGCAGGGAGUCAGUGGAGGGGUCCGGCAGGUCAGGGGGCUCCCCGUUCCUGCCUUUUUCCUGGUUCACGGACAGCGGCAAGGGCUCAGCAUCCUUGGGUAGCACCACCUCCCCCGCCUGCUCCCCUAAACACGAGGGCUUCAGCCCUAAGAAGUCAGCUUCCCAGGAAUCCACUCUGAGUGAUGACUCCACGCCCCCCACCAGCAGCCCCAAGAUCCCCAGUGGGCCCCGGCAGGAGGCCAAAU